UACGUAGGGCGCAAGCGUUGUCCGGAAUUAUUGGGCGUAAAGAGCUCGUAGGCGGCUUGUCACGUCGGGUGUGAAAGCCCGGGGCUUAACCCCGGGUCUGCAUUCGAUACGGGCAGGCUAGAGUGUGGUAGGGGAGAUCGGAAUUCCUGGUGUAGCGGUGAAAUGCGCAGAUAUCAGGAGGAACACCGGUGGCGAAGGCGGAUCUCUGGGCCAUUACUGACGCUGAGGAGCGAAAGCGUUGGGAGCGAACAGG
RNAcentral lists this ribosomal RNA (253 nucleotides) under uncultured bacterium. Its description in RNAcentral is "partial 16S ribosomal RNA". It matches the Rfam family "Bacterial small subunit ribosomal RNA", at positions 524 to 776 of the family's 1533-position model. The record is from RNAcentral.